ACACAUGCAAGUCGAGCGGAUGAAGGAGCUUGCUCCUGGAUUCAGCGGCGGACGGGUGAGUAAUGCCUAGGAAUCUGCCUGGUAGUGGGGGACAACGUUUCGAAAGGAACGCUAAUACCGCAUACGUCCUACGGGAGAAAGCAGGGGACCUUCGGGCCUUGCGCUAUCAGAUGAGCCUAGGUCGGAUUAGCUAGUUGGUGAGGUAAUGGCUCACCAAGGCGACGAUCCGUAACUGGUCUGAGAGGAUGAUCAGUCACACUGGAACUGAGACACGGUCCAGACUCCUACGGGAGGCAGCAGUGGGGAAUAUUGGACAAUGGGCGAAAGCCUGAUCCAGCCAUGCCGCGUGUGUGAAGAAGGUCUUCGGAUUGUAAAGCACUUUAAGUUGGGAGGAAGGGUUGUAGAUUAAUACUCUGCAAUUUUGACGUUACCGACAGAAUAAGCACCGGCUAACUCUGUGCCAGCAGCCGCGGUAAUACAGAGGGUGCAAGCGUUAAUCGGAAUUACUGGGCGUAAAGCGCGCGUAGGUGGUUUGUUAAGUUGGAUGUGAAAUCCCCGGGCUCAACCUGGGGACUGCAUCCAAAACUGGCAAGCUAGAGUAUGGUAGAGGGUGGUGGAAUUUCCUGUGUAGCGGUGAAAUGCGUAGAUAUAGGAAAGGAACACCAGUGGCGAACGCGACCACCUGGACUGAUACUGACACUGAGGUGCGAAAGCGUGGGG
Molecule: ribosomal RNA, 720 nt
Filed under: uncultured bacterium
Lineage: Bacteria
Description: bacterial SSU rRNA
Rfam family: Bacterial small subunit ribosomal RNA
Source: RNAcentral